UGCCAGCCGCCGCGGUAAUACGGAGGGGGUUAGCGUUGUUCGGAAUUACUGGGCGUAAAGCGCGCGUAGGCGGAUUAGUAAGUUAGGGGUGAAAUCCCGGGGCUCAACCCCGGAACUGCAUCUGAAACUGUUUUUCUAGAGGAUAGGCGGAGAAAGCGGAAUCCCACGUGUAGCGGUGAAAUGCGUAGAUAUGUGGAAGAACACCUGUGGCGAAAGCGGCUUUCUAGCUUAUUCCUGACGCUGAGGCGCGAAAGCAAGGGGAGCAAACAGGAUUAGAUA
RNAcentral lists this ribosomal RNA (279 nucleotides) under uncultured bacterium. Its description in RNAcentral is "partial 16S ribosomal RNA". It matches the Rfam family "Bacterial small subunit ribosomal RNA", at positions 506 to 784 of the family's 1533-position model. The record is from RNAcentral.